CCCGGGCCUUGUACACACCGCCCGUCACACCAUGGGAGUUGGUUUUACCUUAAGACGGUGCGCUAACCGCAAGGAGGCAGCCGGCCACGGUAAGGUCAGCGACUGGGGUG
This 110-nucleotide ribosomal RNA is filed under the name uncultured bacterium. RNAcentral describes it as "partial 16S ribosomal RNA". It matches the Rfam family "Bacterial small subunit ribosomal RNA", at positions 1373 to 1482 of the family's 1533-position model. The record is from RNAcentral.